UAGCACCAUUUGAAAUCGGUU
This 21-nucleotide non-coding RNA is filed under the name Callorhinchus milii (elephant shark). Lineage: Eukaryota; Metazoa; Chordata; Chondrichthyes; Chimaeriformes; Callorhinchidae. RNAcentral also lists the same sequence under 12 other names. The record is from RNAcentral.